UACGUAGGGGGCAAGCGUUAUCCGGAUUUACUGGGUGUAAAGGGAGCGUAGACGGCAGCACAAGUCUGGAGUGAAAUCCCGGGGCUUAACCCCGGAACUGCUUUGGAAACUGUGCGGCUGGAGUGCAGGAGGGGUAAGCGGAAUUCCUAGUGUAGCGGUGAAAUGCGUAGAUAUUAGGAGGAACACCGGUGGCGAAGGCGGCUUACUGGACUGUAACUGACGUUGAGGCUCGAAAGCGUGGGGAGCAAACAGG
This 253-nucleotide ribosomal RNA is filed under the name uncultured bacterium. Its description in RNAcentral is "partial 16S ribosomal RNA". It matches the Rfam family "Bacterial small subunit ribosomal RNA", at positions 524 to 776 of the family's 1533-position model. The record is from RNAcentral.